ACAUACAUCGAAACAUUUCGAGCUAUUUAUAAUUUUAAUGAUCUUGCGUUGAAAACUAAAGUAAACAGCGUCGAAAUGUUAGGAAACCUUCGCGGAGUUUCGCCGUUAUCCGAAACGAUGUCGGAGGGCACGUUGGAGAGAAACCGCGCAGAGAGAGCACUUAUAACUAAAACACCCGCCCAAAGUCAGGUCUUCCUCAAUAAAUCUAACGUGAAGAAUUAUUCCGAUAAAAAUGGUAAUGAAGUAAGCAAGAAUGUGAGCAAGGGGCGCAAAACGUUUGCAUUUUGGACGCUGGUGUGUCUGCUGUUUAUACUGGCGAUCGGAAAUUUGGUUCUAACUUUCACCAUUUUGGCUGUCUUGAGACUUGGACAUGGCAUGGAAAGUAUGGAGUUCCUGCCGGAGCAUAACGCCAUCAAACUCCUAGGGGAGGCAGGGCUGGAGCACGUCUACAAGAGAGAUGGUCUCCUGGAGAGCUUCCGUGACGCACCCCUGGCCAUCACCAGCGAAAACGGCUCCGUAUUGUUCAACUUGCAGACACGUGUCUCCCGUUCGGACACGAAGCUGGUGGUGAACGCAUCAGGGGUCUUCAUACGAGGAGUGAGCUCCUUAGAGCUGGUGGACCCGGAGACAGGGGACGUGGUCUUCAGCACCAACUCGCCGGAGAUGACCAUACCGGAGGGGGUCAAUAACCUGCACGCUAAGCAAAUCUCGACCAAACGCAUCACGUCCCCAGUCGAUAGUGACUUGCAGCUGCGAACAGAGGCGUCUGCCCACCUCCGUGGCGCCGAGGGCACGCACAUGGAGUCCAAAGAUCUGUUCUGGACUGCCGACCAGGAUAUAUACCUCAAAUCCAUUAACGGGUCCAUAGUUUUGAGUGGAAAAGAGGGUGUGUUUAUAGAUGUAAGGUAUCUACCAAUAGCGUUACCUGUUAACAAGACUGAGAGGUUGGGCUCAGGGCAAUUUAAGGUGUGUGUAUGCAUGCCUCAGGGGAAGUUGUUCAGGGUUGCCGUGCCGACGGGGCAGCGAGUCACCUGUUCACACAUCAACGUCACUGGGGAACUCAACCCUUGUAAUUAACCCUUUCACUGGCAGAGACCAUGGGUCAUUCUUCUUGUAGUUUCGAUGGCAUUCAGAUUUUUUGUAGUAUUUUGCUACCCGGACAGCAUUUUCGGUGGCAUUCAUCAGCUACAGCGUACAGUCAUGAGCAAUAUCAUGUACCCACUUUAGAACCUUGUCGCACUAUCAUAUUUGACAUUUAAUGAGACUUACAGUUUCAUUUAACAGCCUCCGUGGUCUAGUGGUUAGAGCGUUAGGCUCACGAUCUGGAGGUCCGGGUUCGAUUCCCGAUGGGGACAUUGUCGAAAUCACUUUGUGAGACUGUCCUUUGUUUGGUAAGGACUUUUCAGGCUUGAAUCACCUGAUUGUCCGAAAAAGUAAGAUGAUUCCGUGCUUCGGAGGGCACGUUAAGCCGUUGGUCCCGGCUAUUAGCCGUAAAAAACACCUCCACCAACCCGCAGUGGAGCAGCGUGGUGGAGUAUGCUCC
Molecule: unclassified non-coding RNA, 1543 nt
Filed under: Pectinophora gossypiella (pink bollworm)
Lineage: Eukaryota; Metazoa; Arthropoda; Insecta; Lepidoptera; Gelechiidae
Description: uncharacterized LOC126378947
Rfam family: tRNA (bases 1284-1355)
Source: RNAcentral